This 534-nucleotide small RNA is filed under the name Pan troglodytes (chimpanzee). RNAcentral describes it as "processed transcript". Lineage: Eukaryota; Metazoa; Chordata; Mammalia; Primates; Hominidae. The record is from RNAcentral.
AUCACUGAGAGCCUCAACACCAGCCAGUACACAUAUGAAAUCGCCCCCGUGUUUGUGCUCAUGGAAGAGGAGGUGCUGAGGAAACUGCGGGCCCUGGUGGGCUGGAGCUCUGGGGACGGAAUCUUCUGCCCUGGUGGCUCCAUCUCCAACAUGUAUGCUGUAAAUCUGGCCCGCUAUCAGCGCUACCCGGAUUGCAAGCAGAGGGGCCUCCGCACACUGCCGCCCCUGGCCCUAUUCACAUCGAAGGAGGUGGGGAAGAGGCACAGGCCCAACCCUGGGCUCCUGAUUCUAAUCUCCAGCCAGCUAAGUAGAGACCUUCCAGGUCUUCUCCCUGCCCUCCCUACAUCCUCCAAGGCCAGCCUGCCCCCAGGCGGAUGUGCUUCCUUCCAAUCAAGGAGUGUCACUACUCCAUCCAGAAGGGAGCUGCGUUUCUGGGACUUGGCACUGACAGUGUCCGAGUGGUCAAGGCUGAUGAGAGAGGGAAAAUGGUCCCCGAGGAUCUGGAGAGGCAGAUUGGUAUGGCCGAGGCUGAGG